Molecule: long non-coding RNA, 1113 nt
Organism: Podarcis raffonei (Aeolian wall lizard)
Lineage: Eukaryota; Metazoa; Chordata; Lepidosauria; Squamata; Lacertidae
Exons: 3
Source: RefSeq, a predicted model, not a curated record
AGUAUGUUGCGAUGCUGCAUUGCUUCACAAUGCAGAUUCUGAAAUUAAUAGUAAGUUAAAUGGCUUGCUAAAUUAGGGUUGCCAUUUUUCAAACCACGAAAAUCCAGACAGGAAAGCUGUUGAGCUUUUUUUGGGUGUGGGCAUGGCGAAAGGCGCAUUUUACCAAUUUCUGCACAGACACUGCUACCGUGAAAUGCCAGUUGUAUGGGAACCCUAAUGUGUUCCAUUAGGGGAGAUUGGUUUGCACAAAUGUGUAUAUUAGGCAGAACUGCAUACAGGAAACGACCAAUCAACAUGCGACCAUGCAGAACCCAGAAGUGACUUUUAAAACAGCCCUAAAAGAGCCCAGCAAGAGCAAAACCAGCACGAAAACAGCACCUAGCAAUCCCAUGAGCCUUUGCAAAUGCAAUCCCAGGAGCCCUUGCAGCGACCAUUGAGGCCUGUGGAGAGUUGAAUUUGAGCAGGGAGUUUUGGAGGGAGUGGUUAUGGCGGAGUUUGGUGAUUGCAACAAAACACAGGCAGAAGGUGGAAGGGAAAGCAAUAAUACAUGCCUUCGUUGUAGCAUAGAUUACAUGUUCUUUGUUCCUGCCUUUGACCUUCUCCACUUCUCCAAAUGUAUCUCCAGAGCAAGAGGUACAAAAAUACCCAGGACAGAAAUAGGUACAGAACGAUGAGAGAAGAGUGGAUGAGAGGAAGGACCCAUAACUAUCCUGUAUACAUUCCAUCACUCUCUUCUCACUGAUGUGGAUACCAUGCAGCAGUAUAGUGAGGAAUAUCUAGGCCUGGCGUGGGGCAGAAUGUAUGGAAGCUAAUGUAUCAACCAUGCUCAAGGAAUUAUUGGAUCCAAAUGACCUUUUUGUGAUGUAAAGCUCCAGUCUGGAAGCUCAUGUGGUCAAAUGGUUAUAAUACAAUAUUUUAUAUGUUAUGCUCCCAUCACAGGAGCCAACUUCUAGGGGCCGAGGUACCUUCAGCCCCCCCCCUAAAAUAUUGGUGUGUGUUUUCCCCCCAAAACAACAUGCAAUUGCAGCACUGGUCUCCCAAGGUUGUACUAACAGUGCACUGUUGAAGACUUUCAGGGCUCCUAUGCCUUUAAUAAAACAUCUCCUGUUUGCA